ACUUAAGUAGUUUAAUAAAAUGUUGAUUUGUGGUGUCAGAGUUGCAUGAUUUGCCUUAGGUU
RNAcentral lists this transfer RNA (62 nucleotides) under Therea olegrandjeani. RNAcentral describes it as "tRNA-His". The record is from RNAcentral. Lineage: Eukaryota; Metazoa; Arthropoda; Insecta; Blattodea; Corydiidae.